Molecule: long non-coding RNA, 1469 nt
Filed under: Numida meleagris (helmeted guineafowl)
Lineage: Eukaryota; Metazoa; Chordata; Aves; Galliformes; Numididae
Description: lncRNA (ENSNMEG00000004196.1)
Source: RNAcentral
UAGGAGAUCGUGGUGCGGCAGUAGGAGGUUAUGGGGUGGUUUGGGGCUGCAGUGGGAAGUUUGGGAUCGCUUUAGGGUUUGCAGUGGGAGGUUUCGGGGUGGCUUUGGGGCUGCAAGGGGAAGAUCAGAGAUGUGUGGGGAGCUUUGGUGCUGCAAUGGGAGGUUUUCAGGGAUGUCUUGGGGCUGGAGUAGAUUUUGGGGUGGCUUUGGUGCUGCAGUGUGGCCUUAGGGAGGCUUUGGGGCUGCAAUAGGAGAUCGUAGUGCGGCAGUAGGAGGUUAUGGGGGGGUUUGGGGCUUGCAGUGGGAGGUUUUGGGGUGGCUUUGGGGCUGCAAGGGGAAGAUGAGAGAGGUUUGGUGUUGCUUUGGGGUGGUUUUGGUGCUGCGGUGAAAGGUUUUGGGGUGGCUUUGGGGCUCCAGUGGGAGGUCUAGGGGAUAUUUUAGGGCUUGAAUGGAUUUUGGGGAAGCUUUUUGGUGCUGCAGUGUGGUUUUGGGGAGGCUUUGGGGCUGCAGUAGGGGAUGUUGGUGCCACAGUAGGAGGUUAUGGGGUGGCUUUGGUGCUGCGGUAGGUUUUGGGAUUGCAGUGGGAGCUUUGAGAUGGCUUUGGGGCUGCAAGUGGGAAGCUGGGGGGACGUUCUGGGGCUGGGGUUGAUUUUGGGGUUGCCGUGGGAAGCUAUGGGGUGGCUGCAAGAGGAAGGGCAGAGGGUUUUGAUGUUCCUUUGGGGUGGCUUUGGUGCUGCCCCUGCUGCUUCGGGGCCUUCUCGGGGUAACGCUUUGCAACCCAAGGCUGACGACGGAGCUUUGGGACCCCCCUCUCCCCCCCAAACCCGCGCCCUGAGCGCCCCAAACCCCCCACAAAACCCCUCUCCCUGUGUCUGUGUGUAUCUGUGUGUGUCUGUGUGUGCGUCCCCUCUCCCCCAGUGACGACGACAUCGUGUUCGAGGACUUCGCCCGGCAGCGGCUGAAGGGGAUGAAGGACGACAAGGAGGAUGAGGAGGAGCGGACCAACUCCCCGCAGCUCAACGACAGAUAAGCCGACCCCGGAGCCGCCCGCCCCGCUCUCACCCGUGCGUUAGAGGCUUCUUCUCUAUUUUAUUUUAUUAUUAUUUUUUUUUUGUAUGACGAUGAUUCGUUUCGUUUUCUACCUGUACCGGAUCACCCCCCCCGAUCGUGACAGCAGCAAUUAGACCCUUCCAGCUGUGCCCUGUUGUCCCCAUUCGUCCCUGGUGGUGGUGGUGGUGGUGAUGGGGGGGGGGAGGGGGUGGCAUCCAGGGCUCAGCCCACCCCCCUCAGCCUUCACCCCUCCGUCCUUUUCCCCUUCCUAAAGCUCCGGGCCCUUUCCCGGGAGCUGCUCUUUUAUGCAUUUUGUAUAGUCCGCUCUCGACGCCGGGGGAGGGGGGGAUGCAGCAGAAUUUUGGGGGGGGAUUUUUUAGGCAGCCUGCUCGUGGGAAAGGGCCCCGUCCCCCCCGUCC